This 468-nucleotide ribosomal RNA is filed under the name uncultured bacterium. RNAcentral describes it as "partial 16S ribosomal RNA". It matches the Rfam family "Bacterial small subunit ribosomal RNA", at positions 28 to 507 of the family's 1533-position model. The record is from RNAcentral.
GACGAACGCUGGCGGCGUGCUUAACACAUGCAAGUCGAACGGAAAGGCCCUGCUUGCGUGGGGUGCUCGAGUGGCGAACGGGUGAGUAACACGUGAGUAACCUGCCCUUGACUUUGGGAUAACUUCAGGAAACUGGGGCUAAUACCGGAUAGGAGCCCCCGCUGCAUGGUGGGGGUUGGAAAGUUUCGGCGGUUGGGGAUGGACUCGCGGCUUAUCAGCUUGUUGGUGGGGUAGUGGCUUACCAAGGCUUUGACGGGUAGCCGGCCUGAGAGGGUGACCGGCCACAUUGGGACUGAGAUACGGCCCAGACUCCUACGGGAGGCAGCAGUGGGGAAUAUUGCACAAUGGGCGGAAGCCUGAUGCAGCAACGCCGCGUGCGGGAUGAAGGCCUUCGGGUUGUAAACCGCUUUCGCCUGUGACGAAGCGUGAGUGACGGUAAUGGGUAAAGAAGCACCGGCUAACUACGUG